RNAcentral lists this ribosomal RNA (737 nucleotides) under Enterococcus faecium. RNAcentral's name for it is "bacterial SSU rRNA". It matches the Rfam family "Bacterial small subunit ribosomal RNA", at positions 7 to 715 of the family's 1533-position model. Lineage: Bacteria; Bacillati; Bacillota; Bacilli; Lactobacillales; Enterococcaceae. The record is from RNAcentral.
GAGAGUUUGAUCCUGGCUCAGGACGAACGCUGGCGGCGUGCCUAAUACAUGCAAGUCGUACGCUUCUUUUUCCACCGGAGCUUGCUCCACCGGAAAAAGAAGAGUGGCGAACGGGUGAGUAACACGUGGGUAACCUGCCCAUCAGAAGGGGAUAACACUUGGAAACAGGUGCUAAUACCGUAUAACAAUCGAAACCGCAUGGUUUUGAUUUGAAAGGCGCUUUCGGGUGUCGCUGAUGGAUGGACCCGCGGUGCAUUAGCUAGUUGGUGAGGUAACGGCUCACCAAGGCCACGAUGCAUAGCCGACCUGAGAGGGUGAUCGGCCACAUUGGGACUGAGACACGGCCCAAACUCCUACGGGAGGCAGCAGUAGGGAAUCUUCGGCAAUGGACGAAAGUCUGACCGAGCAACGCCGCGUGAGUGAAGAAGGUUUUCGGAUCGUAAAACUCUGUUGUUAGAGAAGAACAAGGAUGAGAGUAACUGUUCAUCCCUUGACGGUAUCUAACCAGAAAGCCACGGCUAACUACGUGCCAGCAGCCGCGGUAAUACGUAGGUGGCAAGCGUUGUCCGGAUUUAUUGGGCGUAAAGCGAGCGCAGGCGGUUUCUUAAGUCUGAUGUGAAAGCCCCCGGCUCAACCGGGGAGGGUCAUUGGAAACUGGGAGACUUGAGUGCAGAAGAGGAGAGUGGAAUUCCAUGUGUAGCGGUGAAAUGCGUAGAUAUAUGGAGGAACACCAGUGG